GAUGAACGCUAGCUACAGGCUUAACACAUGCAAGUCGAGGGGAAACGACAUCGAAAGCUUGCUUUUGAUGGGCGUCGACCGGCGCACGGGUGAGUAACGCGUAUCCAACCUGCCCAUCACUUGGGGGAUAACCUUGCGAAAGUAAGACUAAUACCCAAUGAUAUCUCUAGAAGACAUCUGAAAGAGAUUAAAGAUUUAUCGGUGAUGGAUGGGGAUGCGUCUGAUUAGCUUGUUGGCGGGGUAACGGCCCACCAAGGCGACGAUCAGUAGGGGUUCUGAGAGGAAGGUCCCCCACAUUGGAACUGAGACACGGUCCAAACUCCUACGGGAGGCAGCAGUGAGGAAUAUUGGUCAAUGGGCGAGAGCCUGAACCAGCCAAGUAGCGUGCAGGACGACGGCCCUAUGGGUUGUAAACUGCUUUUAUAAGGGAAUAAAGUGAGUCUCGUGAGACUUUUUGCAUGUACCUUAUGAAUAAGGACCGGCUAAUUCCGUGCCAGCAGCCGACGG
Molecule: ribosomal RNA, 507 nt
Filed under: uncultured bacterium
Lineage: Bacteria
Description: bacterial SSU rRNA
Rfam family: Bacterial small subunit ribosomal RNA
Source: RNAcentral